Molecule: transfer RNA, 65 nt
Filed under: Bryanellocoris orientalis
Lineage: Eukaryota; Metazoa; Arthropoda; Insecta; Hemiptera; Rhyparochromidae
Description: tRNA-Pro
Source: RNAcentral
CAGUAGGUAGUUUAUUUAAAAUAUUAAUUUUGGAGAUUAAAGAAAGCUUUAUUUGUUUUUACUGA